GCCCGGAUGGUGGAAUUGGUAGACACGACGGACUUAAAAUCCGUUGACUUUUAAGUCUUGAGGGUUCAAGUCCCUCUCCGGGUACCA
Molecule: transfer RNA, 87 nt
Filed under: Deltaproteobacteria bacterium
Lineage: Bacteria; Pseudomonadati; Myxococcota; Myxococcia
Description: tRNA-Leu
Rfam family: tRNA
About the family: Transfer RNA (tRNA) molecules are approximately 80 nucleotides in length.
Source: RNAcentral